RNAcentral lists this ribosomal RNA (1516 nucleotides) under Salmonella enterica subsp. enterica serovar Virchow. RNAcentral describes it as "bacterial LSU rRNA". It matches the Rfam family "Bacterial large subunit ribosomal RNA", at positions 1429 to 2925 of the family's 2925-position model. Lineage: Bacteria; Pseudomonadati; Pseudomonadota; Gammaproteobacteria; Enterobacterales; Enterobacteriaceae. The record is from RNAcentral.
GUUAAUAUUCCCGUACUUGGUGUUACUGCGAAGGGGGGACGGAGAAGGCUAUGUUGGCCGGGCGACGGUUGUCCCGGUUUAAGCGUGUAGGUGUGUGUUCCAGGUAAAUCCGGUUCACUUUAACACUGAGGCGUGACGACGAGGCACUACGGUGCUGAAGCAACAAAUGCCCUGCUUCCAGGAAAAGCCUCUAAGCAUCAGGUAACAUCAAAUCGUACCCCAAACCGACACAGGUGGUCAGGUAGAGAAUACCAAGGCGCUUGAGAGAACUCGGGUGAAGGAACUAGGCAAAAUGGUGCCGUAACUUCGGGAGAAGGCACGCUGACACGUAGGUGAAGUGAUUUACUCAUGGAGCUGAAGUCAGUCGAAGAUACCAGCUGGCUGCAACUGUUUAUUAAAAACACAGCACUGUGCAAACACGAAAGUGGACGUAUACGGUGUGACGCCUGCCCGGUGCCGGAAGGUUAAUUGAUGGGGUCAGCGCAAGCGAAGCUCCUGAUCGAAGCCCCGGUAAACGGCGGCCGUAACUAUAACGGUCCUAAGGUAGCGAAAUUCCUUGUCGGGUAAGUUCCGACCUGCACGAAUGGCGUAAUGAUGGCCAGGCUGUCUCCACCCGAGACUCAGUGAAAUUGAACUCGCUGUGAAGAUGCAGUGUACCCGCGGCAAGACGGAAAGACCCCGUGAACCUUUACUAUAGCUUGACACUGAACAUUGAGCCUUGAUGUGUAGGAUAGGUGGGAGGCUUUGAAGUGUGGACGCCAGUCUGCAUGGAGCCGACCUUGAAAUACCACCCUUUAAUGUUUGAUGUUCUAACGUGGACCCGUAAUCCGGGUUGCGGACAGUGUCUGGUGGGUAGUUUGACUGGGGCGGUCUCCUCCUAAAGAGUAACGGAGGAGCACGAAGGUUGGCUAAUCCUGGUCGGACAUCAGGAGGUUAGUGCAAUGGCAUAAGCCAGCUUGACUGCGAGCGUGACGGCGCGAGCAGGUGCGAAAGCAGGUCAUAGUGAUCCGGUGGUUCUGAAUGGAAGGGCCAUCGCUCAACGGAUAAAAGGUACUCCGGGGAUAACAGGCUGAUACCGCCCAAGAGUUCAUAUCGACGGCGGUGUUUGGCACCUCGAUGUCGGCUCAUCACAUCCUGGGGCUGAAGUAGGUCCCAAGGGUAUGGCUGUUCGCCAUUUAAAGUGGUACGCGAGCUGGGUUUAGAACGUCGUGAGACAGUUCGGUCCCUAUCUGCCGUGGGCGCUGGAGAACUGAGGGGGGCUGCUCCUAGUACGAGAGGACCGGAGUGGACGCAUCACUGGUGUUCGGGUUGUCAUGCCAAUGGCACUGCCCGGUAGCUAAAUGCGGAAGAGAUAAGUGCUGAAAGCAUCUAAGCACGAAACUUGCCCCGAGAUGAGUUCUCCCUGAGACUUUAAGUCUCCUGAAGGAACGUUGAAGACGACGACGUUGAUAGGCCGGGUGUGUAAGCGCAGCGAUGCGUUGAGCUAACCGGUACUAAUGAACCGUGAGGCUUAACC